AGCGGCGGACGGGUGAGUAACGCGUGGGUAACCUGCCUCAUACAGGGGGAUAACAGUUGGAAACGGCUGCUAAUACCGCAUAAGCGCACAGUACCGCAUGGUACCGUGUGAAAAACUCCGGUGGUAUGAGAUGGACCCGCGUCUGAUUAGCUAGUUGGUGGGGUAACGGCCUACCAAGGCGACGAUCAGUAGCCGACCUGAGAGGGUGACCGGCCACAUUGGGCUGAGACACGGCCCAA
This 239-nucleotide ribosomal RNA is filed under the name uncultured bacterium. RNAcentral describes it as "partial 16S ribosomal RNA". It matches the Rfam family "Bacterial small subunit ribosomal RNA", at positions 94 to 334 of the family's 1533-position model. The record is from RNAcentral.